GUGCCAGCAGCGGCGGUAAUACGAAGGGGCUAGCGUUGCUCGGAAUUACUGGGCGUAAAGGGCGCGUAGGCGGACAGUUAAGUUGGGGUGAAAGCCCGGGGCUCAACCUCGGAAAUGCCUUCAAUACUGGCUGUCUUGAGUACGGGAGAGGUGAGUGGAACUCCGAGUGUAGAGGUGAAAUUCGUAGAUAUUCGGAAGAACACCAGUGGCGAAGGCGACUCACUGGCCCGUUACUGACGCUGAGGCGCGAAAGCGUGGGGAGCAAACAGGAUUAGAUACCCUGGUAGUCCACGCCGUAAACGAUGAGUGCUAGUUGUCGGCAUGCAUGCAUGUCGGUGACGCAGCUAACGCAUUAAGCACUCCGCCUGGGA
RNAcentral lists this ribosomal RNA (371 nucleotides) under uncultured Phenylobacterium sp. RNAcentral describes it as "bacterial SSU rRNA". It matches the Rfam family "Bacterial small subunit ribosomal RNA", at positions 505 to 878 of the family's 1533-position model. Lineage: Bacteria; Pseudomonadati; Pseudomonadota; Alphaproteobacteria; Caulobacterales; Caulobacteraceae. The record is from RNAcentral.